UACGAAGGGGGCUAGCGUUGUUCGGAAUUACUGGGCGUAAAGCGCACGUAGGCGGAUAUUUAAGUGAGGGGUGAAAUCCCAGGGCUCAACCCUGGAACUGCCUUUCAUACUGGGUAUCUCGAGUUCGAGAGAGGUGAGUGGAAUUGCGAGUGUAGAGGUGAAAUUCGUAGAUAUUCGCAGGAACACCAGUGGCGAAGGCGGCUCACUGGCUCGAUACUGACGCUCAUGCA
This 230-nucleotide ribosomal RNA is filed under the name uncultured microorganism. RNAcentral describes it as "partial 16S ribosomal RNA". It matches the Rfam family "Bacterial small subunit ribosomal RNA", at positions 524 to 753 of the family's 1533-position model. The record is from RNAcentral.